RNAcentral lists this ribosomal RNA (497 nucleotides) under uncultured bacterium. Its description in RNAcentral is "partial 16S ribosomal RNA". It matches the Rfam family "Bacterial small subunit ribosomal RNA", at positions 28 to 507 of the family's 1533-position model. The record is from RNAcentral.
GAUGAACGCUGGCGGCGUGCCUAAUACAUGCAAGUCGAGCGAACAGACGAGGAGCUUGCUCCUCUGACGUUAGCGGCGGACGGGUGAGUAACACGUGGAUAACCUACCUAUAAGACUGGGAUAACUUCGGGAAACCGGAGCUAAUACCGGAUAAUAUAUUGAACCGCAUGGUUCAAUAGUGAAAGACGGUUGGGCGGGCACUUAGAGAGGGAUCCGCGCCGCAUUAGCUAGUUGGUAAGGUAACGGCUUACCAAGGCAACGAUGCGUAGCCGACCUGAGAGGGUGAUCGGCCACACUGGAACUGAGACACGGUCCAGACUCCUACGGGAGGCAGCAGUAGGGAAUCUUCCGCAAUGGGCGAAAGCUUGACGGAGCAACGCCGCGUGAGUGAUGAAGGUCUUCGGAUCGUAAAACUCUGUUAUUAGGGAAGAACAAAUGUGUAAGUAACUAUGCCCGUCUUGACGGUACCUCAUCAGAAAGCCACGGCUAACUACGUG